This 25351-nucleotide long non-coding RNA is filed under the name Pelobates cultripes (western spadefoot toad). Lineage: Eukaryota; Metazoa; Chordata; Amphibia; Anura; Pelobatidae. The record is from RNAcentral.
UGACAUUGCAGAGAAGGGAUCCUCCCCAACAGCCCUUGUUAGGAAAUGUUUCAUUUAGUCAGAUCCCAAGUCUCAGAGUCAGGAGGACGAUAAGUCUAGAAAGAUCUACAGAGAGUUUGUUUCUGUCUGGUCAGUGAAUUAGAGACUCUGCUUCAAGGAAGAAGGUUGGACUGAGGGGAGCUGUGAUUUAACCCUGAGCACCCAGCGAGCCAUGGCCCAAGCCAAGAUCCAAGCCAGAGCCAUGGAGGGGCUGAACAGUGGCAAGUUCUGUCGAUCUCUGUCUAUGGCAGCACGUUCUACCCACCUGCUAGAGACCUUAGAUGAGCUAGAAAUCAGGUGAGAGCAUGCAGUGAAUGGCUACAGUGUAAUGUCAGCCAGGGAUGGGGGAUGUGUGCGCUAGACAUUUCUUCACAGGAACACAGUUGGAUCAAUUAAAAUAUCAUUCAUUCAUUCAUUUACAUCUCCCCCUGCACCUGAACACACAUAGGCCUCCAUUUAAUAUGCUUUUCAAAUUAUUGAAUAAUAUUUUUGGAUAAAUAUUUAAAAUGAUUUAAGAUUAUAAAAAAUAUGAAAUUUUUUUGUAUUACUGUAUACAUUUUUAUAUACAUUAUAUAUGUUUGGCUAUUUUAGUUUUAUUUGAAAAAUCAUUUGAAAAGUGUAUCCAAAAAUAUUAAAUUGAGGCUGCAGUUUGUGGAAAUCUGCAGAUGCAGUUUGAAUAGUCACAUGCCACACCAUGGGAAUCCUUGGCCAUUAUAGAUAAUGUACCUGCUUCUUUGCUUGGCUGUGCAUCAUAUGAGUUGCACCAAAAAAUAUUAGGCUUUUGGAGCUUCCGAUCUUAAACUUUACAACUUCUAAGUAGUGCUAGAGGAUCUUGCUUGAAAGAGCUUUUUGGCAGCUGCAUGAAUGAAUGAAACUACUCUGUAAGUUAAUGGCAGCCACUAAUUACAUGUAUGGCAGUUUCAUUGAUUCCUUUAUUAAUUCAUCACUGUGACUUGGAAGUUUCAUCUUUGUCAUAGACAUUAACAUCACAAAAUGGUUUUGUAUGUUAUGCUGUCGUUCACAGUGGCUAUUUUUGCUACAACACUCAUUUUCAGGUUUAGCUUUGAUAACCUGAUUGCCAUCACAAUGUUAUCGAAAAUAGGAAGACUAAUUACCCUGUAUUUGUGGAAGUGAUCAGAUGGCUCUACAUUCACUGAUCAGACACAACAUUUAAACUACUGAAAAAGUUAAUAAUAUUGAAUAUAUCAUUACAAUGGCACCUGCCAAGCAGUGGGAUAUAUCAGUCAGUAUACUGAAUAGUCAGUUCUUGAAUUCCAUGUGUUGGAAGCAGGAAAAAUUGCCAAGCAAAAAAAGGGCCAAACAGUGAGAAGGGCCAAACAGUGAUGUUUAGACGACUGAAUCAGACCACCUACAAGACGGUAUGUCUUGUGGGUUGGUCCUGGUAUGCAGUGGUUAGUACCUACCAAAAGGGCAAAGGACAGCUAAUAAUCCAGAAUCAGGGUUAUGGGUGCCCAGGCUCAUUGAUUCACUUUGGAGGCUAAAGCUAGCCCCUCUGAUCUGGUCACACAGAAAAGCUACUGUAGCUCAAACUGCUAAAAAACAAACAAAAACCAAACAUAAUGCUGGCACUGAUAAAAGGUAAAAGAAAACACAGUGCAUUGCAGUUUGCAGACCAUCUAGAAUGCCUGUGAUGACCCCUGUCCACCGACCGAAAGCGCCAUCAGUAGAGACCUGAGCAUCAGAACUGGACCGCACAGCUAUAAAUGAAGGUUGCAUGGUCUGAUGAAUCACUUUUCUUUAAGAUUAGGUGGAUGGCUGGGAGCAUGUUUUCUUGGGGAAGGGAUGGCAGCAGCAGAAGGCAGGCUAGCAGAGGCAGUGUUAUGCACUGGGCAAUGUUCUGCUUGGAAACCUUGGCUUAUGGCUAGUAGACAUGUGCAAUUCAUUUCAGUCCAAAUGCAAAUUCGGAUGAAUUUCAGGCAAUGUGGGCAUUCGGGUGCUUCCGAAUGUCCGAAUAGCUGAAUUGUCGAAGUUCCGAAGUGCCGAAGUUCCAAAGCACAGUAUUGCCUAAGUACUAAUAUACUUACCGAAGACAAAGAAUGUUACACUGUAUACAAUUUUAAAUAAAAAGUAUACAAACAAAAACCAGGAUUCAGCUGUAAGCAAUUGCAAUACUUACAACAAUCAAGUAACACGCAUUCAUAUAAAAUGUAAGUUACUUGGCCAGUCAAUGUAAUGACAGGAAUGAAUAAGUAGAUAGCUCCCUAAAUCCCACGGUAUUAGGUAGCUAUCUACUAAAAGGCUGAAAGACCUGAAUUGGUCUUUAAGACAAAUUUACUAAUACUAAGUAAAGAUUACUUAGUAUUAGUAAAUUAUGCCCCUACUCGCUAUACCGCGAGUAGGGGCAUGUCUAUUAAACAGUAAGCAGCCUAUUGUCCUGCCCCCUGGCCCCCACCCCUGAGCAGUGGGUGAGGGCCAUAAAUACCGAUUAGGGGGGGACCUAAUGUCCUCCCCCUGGCCCCCACCCAUGAGCGGUGGGGGGGGCCCUAAAUAAAAAUUGGGGGGGGGAGGACCUAAUGUCCUCCCACCUGGCCCCCACCCCUGAGUGAGGGCCCUAAAUAAAAAUUGGGGGGGCUUAAUGUCCUCUGAGCAGUGGGUGGGGGCCCUAAAUACCAAUUAGGGGGGUACCUAAUGUCCUCCCCCCUGGCCCCCAUCCCUGAGUGGUGGGUGGGGGACCUAAAUUAGAAAUGUAACCCCCCAAAGCCCUAGUCACACCCUCCCCAAAAAAUUAACCCCUACCUACCCCCCUCACCCUAAAAAUAAUGAGGGGGGGGGGGGGUUCUUUCUUCUAAAAUCUUUUUUCAGCCCCAAAAAAGGCCAAAUAAAAAACCAUAAUAACCGACGCAGUUAAUUAAAAUUUAAAAAAAAAAACUGAGCGCAAGAAAAAUAAUCCAUCUUCACCCAUGGAGGGCUCCGCGCAGACUGAGCUCUGCAGGGUGAGGGAAGGCUUAUAAAGCCUUCCCCCGCCCUGCAAUUAUGCUCACAGCACUCUGAUUGGUGGGUUUAAGCCAUCCUAUCAGAGUGCUCUGACAGGUAAAUGAAGAGACUGACAGGUAAGUCUCUACGUUUACCUGUCACAGCACUAUGAUUGGUUGGCUUGAAAUCCACCAAUCAGAGUGCUCUUUGUCAUUUUACACAGUGUGGGAAAGUUCUUUGGAAUUUUCCCACGCUGUGUAAUUUGACUCAUAACACUCUGAUUGGUGGAUCAGAGUGUUAUGAGUCAAAUUACACAGCAUGUGAAAAUUUCAAAGAACAUUAGGUCCCCCCCUAAUUGGUAUUUAGGGCCCCCACCCACCGCUCAGGGGUGGGGGCCAGGGGGGAGGACAUUAGGUCCCCCACCCACCGCUCAGAGGUGGGGGCCAGGGGGAGGACAUUAGGUCCCCCCCAAUCGGUAUUUAGGGCCCCCACCCACCGCUCAGGGGUGGGAGCAAGGGGGGAGGACAUUAAGUCCCCCCCAUUAUUUUACUUUAGGGCCCCCACCCGCCGCUCACGGGUGGGAGCCGGGGGGGGGGAAAUAGGUCCCCACUUUAGUUUAAAAGGCUCAGGAGGGGGGAAUGCUUUAUUUUGUAAAAAAAAAAAAAAAAUUUUAAACAGUGAGCAGCCACAGGCUGCUCACUGUUUACUAGACAUGCCCCUACUCGCGGUAUAGCGAGUAGGGGCAAAAUGUACUAAUACUAAGUAAUUUUUACUUAGUAUUAGUAAAUUUGUCUGAGGUGUUUCAGCCUUUUGGUAGAUAACUCCCUAAUACCGUGUAUAGAAGUAUAUGGUAAAAGGCCAAAACUACCACAGUGUGCUAAAUGAGCACCAGGACUGACUGAGCAACAGGAUUAGCUUAAGGGUUUUCAAAGAUUAGUGACAUAUUAAUUUCAAAGGUGAGUAUAACAUGGGUCAAGUCCUGGGGAAAAAAGUGUGUGAACUUACCCAAGAUCCACCCCACCCCCAAGAAAAAAUACACUUGUAUGCAUAUAUAGACGCGUGCACACACACACUGACAGGUGCACACAGACACACACUCAGACAGACACAUACUCAGACACUCACACAGUGGUAUAAUUUAAUUAUUUGCUGCCCUAGGCAUGACUAAACGUGAGCACCCCCCUAAUCUCAAUUUACCACCCCUUCCUGUCAAGGGCGCACCUCUUCCUGAUUAAUAACCUACCCUUUCCUCUUUAGACUCCACCUUUUAAAGAAAUACUAUAGUGCCAGAAAAACAAAGCUGUUUUCCUGGCACUAAAAUUCCCUAUAGUGCCCCCCUCCCUCGUGUCUUCCCCUCCCCCACUCGACACUGAAGGGGUUAAAAUCCUAUGGGUAUUUAGCAGAUGCUGGAUGUCCUCAUGCACAGCGUGAGAAUGUCCAGCAUCAGUUAGGUGACUUUUGGUCACCUAACCACCUGAAAGUCCACUCGAGGCAGCCACUCGAGGUGGAGUUACCCCUCAAGGUAAUUAUUGCAGUUUCUGAGAAACUGCAAUAAUUAAACUUGCAGGUUUAAGGGGACUGGGACACUGCACCCAGACCACUUCAAUGAGCUGAAGUUGUCUGGGUGCUUAUAGUGUCCCUUUAAGCACACUCUCUGACAGACACACACAGAUUCACUGACACACACUGGCAGAUACACACUGACAGUAACACACACACUCAGUGACAAACACACAGACGUCACUGAUUUGACACACACACACACACAUUAAUUGACGGAGAGACACACACAAACACACUGACAGACACUCAUUGACAGACACACACUACUAGUCACAAACACACACUAAAUGACAAACAGACUCUCACUGAUUUGACAGACACUCACAAACAUGAAUACACUAACAAAAUCACAUACACACAAACAUACACAUGCAUACACUAACAGAAGCACAUACACACAAACAUACACAUUCAUACACUAACAGAAGCACAUACACUCAUACAUACGCUAACAGAUGUAAAUACACUCAUACACAUACACUAGCAGACAUACAUACACUCAUGCACUAACAGAUAUACAUACUCAAACACUAACAGACAUACCUACACUCAUACACACACUGACACCAACACACACAUACAGUAACAGACAUACACUAACAGACAUACACACACGCAUACAAUAACAUACACACACACAGAGACAUACACACACUAACAGACAUACAUACACACACACACAUACAUACACAAACAGACAUAGACACAAAUUAUUAAUAUAAUUAGAAAUAAACAUUUUCCACCCACCCAGGGGCUGUUCUAAUAAGACGCAGUGAGGAUGCCGCGUUCUCCCAGCUCUGCUCCCUCACGGGCUGUCUACUGAUCCUGGGAGCUGGAAUAUGACGUCACAUUCCGGCUCCCGGCAUCAGCAAACGGCAUGCGAGGGAGCAGAGCUGGGAGAACACAGCUCCCUUGACGCGUCUGAUAGGUAAACAGGUGCCCGCCGGCGGGGUCCAUCAGGUGGCCCCCCCAUGACAGGGGAGACACGGGGGGCAUUUGGGGGCAGCAUUUUUUGCCGUCCCCUGGUUAGUGCCUGCAGGGGGAACGGCGUUCCUGCUGUGAAAAAAGUGCAGGAACGCCGUUCCCACAUGUUCCUGCAGGACUGGAGUAUAAUAUAUUUAAUUUUCCAUGUUACUAUAAUAAGUGAUGUAUUGGAUAUGAACACUAUCAGCGUUAUUCAAAAUGUCCACGUCCUAUGCAUAAAAACAUCUCCAAAACAUUAAAGCGCCACCACCAUAUUUAACCAUUGGCAUGAGGUACUUUUCCAUAUAGCUACUUCUAUGUGUGCAUGCCAAACUCACCUCUGGUAUUUAUUGCCACAAAGCUCUAUUUUUAUUUAAUCUGUCCAUAGAACCCUAUACCAUUUAAAGUUCCAGUAGUGUUUAGCAAAUUAAAGAUGCUUGAGUUUGUUUUUGGAUUGGAGGAGAGGCCUUUUCUUGAAACCCUUCCAAACAACUUGUGGUGAUGUAGGUGACACCGGAUUGUAGUUUUGCAGACUUUCUGACUCCAAGAUGCAACUAAUUUCUGCCAUUCUCUAGCUGUGAUCUUUGGAGAUUUUUUGGCCACUCGAACUAUCCUCUUUACAAUGUGUUGAAACUAUAUAGACAUAUGUGAUUCAUACCAUUUCCAGUUAAAUGUAACUUAUUUAUUAUUAUUGUACUGGAUAUGAACACUAUCAAGGUUAUUCACUUAAAGGACCAUUCCCCCCCAAAAUAAUUUUAAAAUAAAAUUCACUAUUUUUCUAUGCAUGUAUUCAUUGGGGGUAGAUCUUAAAAGAGCUUGUUUAUGAAAAGCAGCCUUAGCAAGUCCUCCCCUUUUUCCUUGGAAGAGACUAACAGUCUCUUCUUGAGGAAAGAGCCAAUCAGAAGCUUCUCAUUCGGAAACCUCUGAAUCUGUAUGCACUAGGGCGGGCUCGCCGGCUCGUGCACACGUCUGAUCUGAGGUCUGAAAAUAUGAAGACACUGGUCUGAGAUCUGUGGGGGAGGAGGCAGUCGUGCUCAUGUAAAGCACACCAGUCAUGUCCGUUAGCUCAGGGAGUUAACGGGAAAAGGUGGCGAACGUCCCUGGCUGUUUGACAGCUGAGGGUGUGUUCCAUGAGAAAUCAGCACUUUUAUAAACUGGGGUGAAAAUAAGAUACUCCUAACCCAUAAAGCAUUUCAGCAAGCUUUAUUGGUGUGGAGUGGUUCUAUAAGAGAUAAUUCAAAGUGAAUUUCAAAUUUAAGGUCAAACUAGGCCAACUGGAAAAUUUUCUUAAAAAGCUGUGCUUUUAGUUUGGCUACUUUGAUGUGAAAUUUAAAAUGUACUUUGAAGUUUCACUUUAGUAAGUAACCUUGUAGAUAUUAGAUGUGAAGAUUUUUACAUUUUUUCAAAGGCUACAGGAAUACAGGAUUACAGUUAAAGGGAACCCAUCAGUUCCUAGGAUUUUUUGAAUGUUAUGUUUAAUCUUCUCUUUAUUUAUCACAUAUAAUAAACUAAAAUGUAAAGAACCAUCCACCAAAACUACGGCAACACCUUCUCAGUUAAUGAUUUUUAUAUUGCCCUGGCCUUGACCUGGUUUGUAGUGACAUCUGGCAUCUCUUGCUAAGUAGAUCAGGUAGCCAGAUAAGUUGCCAUCCUAAUAUAUUUUGACUACAAUAGAGGAAAAACUGGGGCACUCAUAGCACUAUAACUCCUACCACUAUUGUAAUAGCUAUUGACAAGUUGCUUUAAAUUUAGAAAUCCACACCACUGUAUCUACGUCUGUUCUGGAAUUUAAUAAAUACUUAAAGUAACAGUUUAGGCGCCAUAACAGUUUCAGAUAAAUUGAGUUUGUAUCAUGCCAGGAGGCUCUUACCGUCAGGGUUAAACCAUUCUCAAAUGCCUAUAGUGCCAUUCUCUAGGUCCACCGGGCACCUGGCUUCUGAAUUUGAGUUACAGGAAGCGCGGAGCAGUGCUGGACAGGAGUUCCGCUGAUUGGCUAGAGUGGUCCGCUGAUGUGUACGGAUCUUAUUUUAUGAAAGGGGAACUUCUGAUUGGCUUAAAGCAUCAGCUGAAUGGUGUAGCCAAUCAAACUUACAUUCUUAAGUCAGAUGCCACCAGGAGUGACCUGGAGAUCGCCACUGGAGGUUUAACACCUGAAGGUAAGAGUGCGCUGGAGGAUAGUUUUGAAUAGUGGUUUCAUUUUUAGUUUUUUUGGUUUACUGCUUCACAUUGGAAGGCCAUUUUUUGUUUUGUUAAAAAUUAAAAAUUGUAUAAUUUAAAAUUAUCAGUAAAAUGUUUUUUUUUGUGGGGGGGGGCUGUUUUAGUUGUGUUAUUGAUUCUAAUAGAAUUUGUUUCUAUAAUAUUAUUAUAUGAUUUUCAUAAAUCUCUGCUUUGUUCUUUUUCAGUGGUUUUCUUAGGAACCUGAAAAUAAAUGUUUAUGUAGAGUUCAGUUAACUGUAGGUUAAUUAACAGGGAACUUGUCACAUAUACAUUCAAGUAUUGAAAGAAUGUAAGCAGUCUGACACCUUAUAAGUCUCGGUGCUGCUGUGGACAAAGGUAUCUAGUUGUGUAAAUAUAUCUUCCACCAUUUCACUUGGACUAUAGGGAUACUUUACUUUUACGGGUUUGACAAGGGGCGGGUAACUUUCUAAUAACAAUUGAUGCAACAAAAAUGUAAUUUAGAACAAGAACAAUGUAUCUUAUUUACGCAUGCUUAUUUCUAACAUUUAUUAUAAUUUAAAGAAACAUUACUGUGAGUAAUAUUGCUGUGGAGCACUGUUAUACACUCAGACUCACCAACAAUAUGAAGCUUCUAGAAAAGAGGAACAUUAGUAUAGAAAGAUUUGGUUCCAACAUAGGCACGGCCCCUUCUAACUUGGGAGGUGUGUGUGACAGAUGUUUGACCAAAUGUAAACAUUGUGCUUUUUGAGAAACAGCAAGUUGUACACUGUCUGAGAAAGGGGACAGCAUUUAUGCACCAAACCAAUAUCUGGGCUCUUCACUAAAAUCCAAAUACGCUUUAUAUCUAUAUAUGGACAUUUGUGAGGUAUUGUGGAAGUAAAUAGAACGAAAACAUGUGUUUAUUAAAACACUAUAUACAUAUUUUAAGGGAGAACUACCACUUUUCUGGGAAUUAUACUAUUGAAUAAAGCAUUGAAAAUUACCUAGAAUUACCACACACACAUUACAUACAGCAAGCACACACCUCACAUACAUACAAACAUUAGAUAAAGCCAGCACACACUUUGUAUACAAUAUAUACAGCCAGCACACACCACCUAUGCAUAUAUACAGCCAGCACACACCACUCUCAUUAGAUAUAGCCAGCACACACUUUGUAUACAAUAUAUACAGCCAGCACACAUCACACACAUUAGAUAUAGCCAGCACACACCUCAUAUACAUAUAUACACAUAUACACACCACCUAUACAUAUAUACAGCCAACACACAUCACACACCUUAGAUAUAGCCAGCACAUACCUUGUAUACAAUAUAUAUUGUACAGCCAGCACAGGAAGCACACCACACACAUUAGAUAUAUCCAGUACACACCUCGUAUACAAAUAUAUACAGCCAGCACACACCACCUAUACAUAUAUAGCACACACCACACACAUUAGAUAUAUCCAGUACACACCUCGUAUACAAUAUAUACAGCCAGCACACACCACCUAUACAUAUAUAGCACACACCACACACAUUAGAUAUAGCCAGCACACACUUGGUAUACAAUAUAUACAGCCAGUACACAGCACACACAUUAGAUACAGCCAGCACACACCACCUAUGCAUAUAUACAGCCAGCACACACCACACACAUUAGAUAUAGCCAGCACACACCUUGUAUACAAUAUAUACAGCCAGCACACACCUCAUAUACAUAUAUACACACCACCUAUACAUAUAUACAGCCAACACAUAUCACACACAUUAGAUAUAGCCAGCACACACCUUGUAUACAAUAUAUAUUGUACAGCCAGCACACACAUUAGAUAUAGCCAGCACACACCUCAUAUACAAUAUAUACAACCAGCACACACCACCUAUACAUAUAUAGCACACACCACACACAUUAUGUGCAUGCAGACGCAGACACACACACCUUUUGGAAAAUAAAUCAGAAAUAGCAACACCGAGGCAAAAAUAGCCAGUUGUCACAAUUAGCAAAGUUGGAGAAUUUUACUAGAGCAUAUCAGUUUUUUCCAUUCAAAUUUAAUUUGGGAAAAUCCAGAUUUUAGUGAAUAACUGCCAAUAUCCAGGUCUGAGCAGGGUCUUCAAAUUUUGUGAUUUUAAAUGUCUUUUUUUUUGUCAGGAGAAGUAGAUUAAUAUGGAAGACAAGUAGACUGGGAUACCACUUUUGUCCAUUAAAAAAGUAGAUUUUUAAUUUUUUUUAAUUUUCACCCAUGAGGUGGAAUAAGUAAACGUAGCAUUAAAAACUGUGUUCCAGUUUAAAUGGUCAUUCCCCUUUAACACACAUAAUUUUUUUUCAAUAUUUUAGUUUAUUUUCUCUUAAGUGAUGUCAGUGAAGUGUGCAUUGAAACUGCAGACCAGAUAUGGCACACUUCACUAACACCAACAGAGGUGCCUGGAUUAUGCUGCUAUAGUGCUGAGACAGAAUGAUCUCAGCAGAAAGUUAGUAUGAUACGCAGAGCAUCCACCAAACAGACUAUAUAGAAACAAGCAACAUAUUACUAAGUUAUUCCUUAAACUUCAAAUUGUAGUGAAUUGAAAUUUGAAUUGCAAAACUAAGGCUAAAAUAGUGACUAUACCUAGAUUGCAGAAUUUUUUACCAUCAUUUACUUUAGCCUAAAUUUUACCGCUACAAUUCAGAGUGUUGAGAAUAAACUCUGCAGAAAGUAGAUUAACCUAUUAAACAUAAGCAGAAUGCUGCAAACAAUAAUUCGGAGAAACAUUAAUACAACGAAUCCAGUAUGAAUUAGAUGGUCGAAGGAAAGAAAGCGGGACCUGGUAAACUGGUACAGGCCUCUGGGGUAACAAUACUCGCUGGCGCAUGUGUUUGAUGGAUGAGACGAUUGUAAUGCAAGAAUGCAGAGCCAAUUUAUGGGACUAUGAGAUUGCUGCAAAAUGUGCACAAUGCCAAUUCUCCCCACCAGUGCCAUAGAGGGAAAGUUCAAAGAGCAUAUGGCCAACUAAUUAGUUCAUCCAGGCAAUUCACCUUACAAAUCAGUCAAAGCCGAUCUUAGUUUCAAGAGAAAAAAAAAAUUAAAAAAUUAUAUAUAUAUAUUUGCAGCCUAAGUGAAAAGCUCUUUGAAGUGCUCAUACAAAAUAUGCAUUUACAGUAUAUGUACUCAUGGCAAAUCCACUUUUAAGGUAAUUUAGAUGCAAUUUCCCUUUAAGAGGUUAGUGAAUAUUGCCUUUCUAUUUUCAGAGAUUUCCAUGUAGAGUGAAACAAUGGAAUAGAUGAGUAAUGUUACUGAGAGCUUAGUCCGGUGCUGCUCAGAGCUUUAUGAAUUAUGAGCUGCUGUCAGCAUUUUCUUGGAUUGCAGUUUGGGUGGUUCGCUUUUCCCAGCUUUUCCGCAGCAUGGAAAAUGUGAAUAAGAGGGUGGCGAAGAAUAACUUGCAGUCUCCUAGGUCAUUUCACACAUAAGUAAAUUAGUUUGGUAGGAUUAAGAAAUCUGGAAAUCUGAAGACAAUCCACGGAUACUGAAAUCUAACUUACUUUUCUGAUGCACUAAUGGUUCUAUUAAUCAUGAAGCAGCAACCAUUACAUUGGCAUUUAAAUAUGUAAAUGCAUUAAAUAUGGGUAAAGGGAAACUAUAUAGGAUAAAUGCCCACCAAUGUUAUAUAUAUAUAUAGCUAAUGCAUUAAAAAUGAAUGCAAAAAAACCCUCAAGAAAACUAAAAUAAAAAAGAUCUCUUUAGAGCUUUAGCUGCAGACAGCCUCCUCCCUGAAAAGGGGGUAAUGCUUUAAUCAGGAGCAUCUCGUUCUAGUCUAUGUUUUCUAUGCUUGUCCCAUAAAUCCCUUUUGAGUAACCCCAAAAGUGACAGUGCUUUUUAAAAAAAAUCAAAAUCACCUUAAGGGGUCAAAAAUAAUAUGUGCCUAAAUAUACAUAACAUAAUCAAAAAACUAGCGAGGGCGAGUAUUUCAGACGGGCUGUAUUGUAUACCUGUAUGUGAAACGCAAGCCAAGUCAGUGUACCAAAGUGUGAAGUAUGGUCUGUUGGUGCCUCCCAUGUGCUACAAAGGAUCCCUCAGAGAAACAGGAAGUACAGUGACAUUUUCUGUUUCCUCCUCAUUUCUGCUAUAAAUACUAUUUAAAUAAUGGAGAUAUUACGUGAUUAACCAUGUCUGAUAAUGUUUUUUGUUUUUUUUAACUUGGUUUUGUUGAUGAGAACCAUUUAACCCCUUAAGGACACAUGACAUGUGUGACAUGUCAUGAUUCCCUUUUAUUCCAGAAGUUUGGUCCUUAAGGGGUUAAUCAUUCGCUGGCUUAAAGAGACACUCCAGACACCCAAGACACUUAAGUUGCUGAAAUGUUUUGUGUGUAAAGAGUGGUGAUUUUAAUAGAAAUUGGCAUUUUUAUAUAUUAACCCUGUUACACUUCCAUGGAUGUCAGUUUGACAAUCAUUCCUUUUACUUCCUGGUUUGGUUAGCUUAGUGGAGCUAAGCACCUGCCUUGCAAAGACUUCUCUUGUCACUGCAUUGGGAAGUCUGUGAUUGGACAGCAACAGAAAGUCUUGGCUGUGUUAGAAGGGGAGGUUUGAAAAUACUGCAGGCAAGAUAUCUACAUGUUUUGCCAGCUGUUUUAAGAUAUACACCAAUGAACAAAAUGCAUACGUAAAUGGUGAUUUUUUAUAUUUUUUACAAUUUUUGUGUUUAGAUAGUGGAGUGUCUCUUUAAGGAAGUCUGUUUUUUUCCUUUCGCUCAGAAUAGAGUUAGCAAGACUAUUUAAUGGCUGGAGGAGACAGUGAGUCAUAUAACAGCUCGUUUUUUUAGCACUCUCAUGCCAAUCCAUUUGUGGGAGUUUGAUAAAAAAAAAAAGUAGCAAGCCUGGAAAUUAAAUCAUCUCCAACACAGAUUAAAGGGACACUGCAUUUUUAAUACACAGGGUGAGGCAAAAGCUAUAUGUUAUAAGGAUAUAACUAGUAGUGAAAUGAACAAAAAAUCACUUAGUACCUUACAUAGAUGUGUGGGUAAUAUAUUAUGUGAUCUGCCCAAUAUAAUGUUUUAGAAUCUCAUAAUGGAUGGAUGGUGACAUCAUCUGUGCAGUUAUUCCCCACAAUUAUUUAUAUAUGACAACAGUGCCUAUUGGGAGCCCUACUGGUGCACUACAAAUUAACUUCUACACUACCUUAACACUAACACUAACCAUAACAAAAUACUAUGUAGUGUAAAAUAUUAAUAAAGUGGUCUGGGUGCAGUGGUCCUGUCGUUUUAACCAUGCAAUGCUAAACACUGCAAUUUGGAAGAAACUGCUGCGUUUGCAUUGCGGGUUCAAACACACCUCCAGUAGCUGUCUUCACUAGAGGAGCUUCUGCUGCACUGACUGAUGUGCGCACAUACAUAAGUUUCCAAUACUCCUCUAUGCAUUAGAUUGGCCAUUGGCUUGACAGCUGGAUGAUGUCAUGGAAAAUGAGCAAAUGCCAGCGCUGAGGUAGUUUUGCUGUUGGAAUAAUGGUAAGUAAAAAUAUUUCCCUUUUUAGGUUUUUACUGGAAAUGAAGGGGGGAUAUGGGGGAAGGGGGCACCUAAAACAAACAGGUUUGUAUUCAUUUCACUCUAGUGUUCCUUUAAAGAAACACUAUAGGGUCAGGAACACAAACAUUUAUUCCUGACCCUAUAGUGUUAAAACCAUCAUCUAGUGUGCCCUCCUCCCUAAAUAAAGUAAAAUCAUACUUGUAUUCAAGUUUGUAGCUGCUGGCUCUGCCCCUGCCUGCUGACAUAAUCAGAAGUGAUUCUCUGAGCUGAUCACAAUGCUUCCCCAUAAGAUUGGCUGAGAAUAUCAAGGAGGCAGAACCAGCACAAGUCAAAUACAGCCCUGGCCAAUCAGCAUCUCCUCAUAGAGAUGAAUUGAAUCAAUGCAUCUCUAUGAGGAAAGUUCAGUGUCUGCAUGCAGAGGGUGGAGACACUAAAUGGCAGUGCUGCUUACUCUGCAGCACUGCCCCAGGAAGCACCUCUAGCAGCCAUCUGAGAAAUGGUUAAUUGAGUUAUUACUAGGCUGUAAUGCAAUAAGCUGUAGUUGUUCUGGUGACUAUAGUGUCCCUUUAAGAUGAGUGUGUGUGUGUGUGUGUAUGUGUUACACAAACACACACUGUAUAUACCAUAUAUUGCAAAUUUAACUGAUUUUAUUUGUCUCAAUUCUCCUGCAGCCGAAUAGAUCCCUAUUUUUUAUUUUCAAUUCUACGAGAUUCAUUUAAAAAUUGCUCAACCACAUAGCAACUCAAUAUUCCUGCAAAAAAUACUGUUAAUGUAGAGUAGAUUUUCUUUUAGUUUUAUGUUUUUUUAGGGGGUUGGGUAUCCUUACAGGGUUUAGGGGAGUUUGGGUGAGCAUUAGGGUGAUUUAGGAUCAGAGAACCCUAGCAUUUUAGGUGCAAUUCACAAGGUCUGUAUAGGGGAAAUGUAACAACGAAUGAAGGCACUUUGAGUGCAGUUCAGUUGCAGAUUGGAUGUUUGUGAAUAGCCAGAUGUUUGUGAAUUGCAGUUGAAUAAAAAGUGAAUAUUUGGUUAAAGUGCGUGUUGGUAAAAUUGAAUGUGUUCUUUUUCCCCUCAUAGAGUCCAAGAGUUACGUGAUGCAGCAGCAUCUUUGGAGAUAGAGAAAGAAAGUCUAAUAGAAAAAAUCCACAGUGUUCAGAACAGCCAGGAUAUGAGGAACAUCAGUGAUGGUAAGGAGCUGCUUCAUACUACUCAUAUUACCCUGGGGGGAUAAAAACAAAAUUGAUGGAUUAUGGUAAUGUAAUCCCUGGUUUAGCCGUUUUCCUGGCAUAGAAUCCUACAGUGCCACCCUCCUUUGCGCCCCCCCAUGGUGCCGAAGGUGUUAAAACCCCUUCAGUCACUUACCAGAAUCCAGCGCCGAUGUCCCUCAGCGCUGGGUCAGGCUCUGCGGGGGAGAUCUAAUGUGCAUGUGCGGCAAUGGCCGUGCUCGCAUUAGAAUUUCCCUAUAGGAGAGCAUUAUUCCUCUGUUUUCCUAUGGGGAAAAAAUCUGACACUGGAGGUCCUCAUGCAGAGCGUGAGGACAUCCAGCCCCAGAUAAUGGAACAAAAGUCGGUUUCAAAUCAGGAAGCUCUCUAGUGGCUGUAGUUAUUUCUCAAUAACUGCAAUAAGUACUAUUACAGGGUUAAGGGUCAUGGGACAUUACACCCAGACCACUUCAAUGAGCUGAAGUGGUCUGGGUGCCUACAGUGUCUCUUUAAAGUUACCAUGUACAAUAUGUGCAACUGCUUUUAUUUAAUAUUUUAACAAUUCAUAGAUUACUCCAUUCUUCGAACUUUGCUCUGACAUCACCAGGCUCUUCAGUGACUCUGCUACCAAUUAUACCUGUGACAUAAAUUGGGAUCAGCAUAAGCUUAUUUAUGGAUUAUUAUAUGUCAGAUAAUGGUUACAACACUAAUUACAAGUUAUAUUCACUUAUGCUACAACAGGAUUAUUUUCUAAAGUGAGACUUCAAAGUAAAUUUAAGAAAAGCCGACCUUAAACCAUAGCUGACUUAGAGAAUUUUUCCAGUUCAGCUAUUUUUCCUUGAAUAUGAAAUUCACUUUGAAUUAUAACCCUAUAUAUGUUGGAGCUUUUAAAUACGGAGAUUUGUGUAUGUUUUGUGCGAAAACACAGUGUAACAUAUACCAUCUGAAAUAAUAUGGUGGCUAAAUGUAUAGUUAUAUUGAACUGGUAAAUGUUCAGUGUAGCAAAAUUAUAUAUAAAGUAUGUGUAGCGGAGUAGUAGGGGUUAAUCCACGGUAUCUCCACAGGUAGUCAGGAUAAGCAGGUAAAACACAGGUAGUGUAGUAACAAUCCUUUCCUUCCAAGAACUAGACGACACAUAGCUUGGAGGUCAACUGAACUUUUAUUCCACAGGACAGUAUUUAUGCAGUUCCCCAUGCAAGGGAUUUACCAACUGGUAUUGCAGGGGAUUUAAUCAAGGGGACUGUGUGGGAAACUGACCCUGCAAGGCUAUUUUCCACCAUGCCCUGCUGUCCUGGAGAGAUAAUCACCCAAGAAUGUACUAUUAAUUGGAUUAUCUCUCAGUACAUCAAAAUACUGCUUGUUAUAUAAAAAUACCCAACUGACAUAAUAUUCAUGACAUUUAACCGAAUUACCCCUUUUUACAUAGCUGGGAUCUGGUGAAAUACCGCUCAGAUCCCUGCGCAAUUAAAUGAACGCCGUUCGAAUUACAGUUUUGUAUUAACAGGUAUUGAAAUGCACGAACAGACUGGUUACGUUAGAAUACCGAAAGAACCAGUUUCCCGAAUGGCCUGGAAGCCCAGCUGUGUACGUGCCGUCGAGUAGCCGAUUUUAAUUCCAGGCACUCAACAACCAAAAACCGCUAGACUUUCGUGAACAAAGAUGGCCGCUGCCACGUGUUCGGUAUACGAACGGCGGCCAUACACAUAAUACCUUAAUUGGUUGCGGAUACAUUGUAUCUAUCGUUAGAUGGGAGACACACGACAUCCUUUGGGUGGUCUCCCAUUUGUUAUAUUAUUUGUUUCACGAACAGCGUUGAAAGUCACAGUUCGUGAAACUACCUUGUGAAUGCUGGCGGCUUUCGUGCCGCAAGCAUACGAAUGCUAUGGGUCUAAUUAUAAUACGAAAUACAAAUACAGACAUAUGCAGGCAAUCUUAAAGCAAUAGCAUCCUAUACAUCAAAUGACCGUCUUAAGUGGCUAGGUUUGCCACAGUAUGCAUAAGCAAAUACUACCUUAAUUUCAUCACAAUAUCAACAAUAGGACAGAGGCUCAGAUUCUCCUUCUGAAGAGACAAGCUUUAGUGACUUAAAGGGACACUCCAGACCCUUAAAACACUUUAGCUUUAUGUGUGAAGACUGUGUCCUCUUUGUUUCAUUUUGCAAAAAGUGCAGAUUUUAAUAGAAAUUGGCAAUUUUUUAAAUUAACCUGUUUACACCCCUUGGCUUUCAAGCAGAAGACAGGUCCUGUUACUUCCUAGUUUGGUAGCUCAGUGGAGCUAAACUCAGACGGCAGCAAUAGCUCAGAGCACCUACCUUUCAAAGACUUCUAAUUUAGGGUGCAUUGAGAAGAACACAGAGCACCCAAAACCUUGUACGCACAAAGAAAUCACCCAGAAAAGGAUUCUUUACUACACUAUGGCAGUACCACACUGUCAAACCCAUAAAAGAAUGAUUAUUUGAAUUUACUGCCAGUUGUUCCACUGUCAGGCACCAGACUAUUGCUUUUUCCAGCUGAUGGCAAUUGAAGAUUAUGCUAGCUUUAGUGUACCUAUAAUCUUAAUUUUAGUAAUGACAGGAGGUGAGUAUUUUGCAUUAAACUCUCUUUACUAACUCACACAGCAGUAAAGAAAAGUGAAAAGAUAACCAAUCAAAAUGCAAUAGGAAGCAUAGUAUUUACAGAGAUAAGGCUCCUCCCCCUCUUUCGAAUGCGACAUCAUGAAUACAGGUCUAAAGAGUCCAAAGGUCCAUAACAGGCGCCAACAGGCGAUUAUCCAAAAAUGAAGGUUGAACAGGCGAAGUCGUAGUGGAGUCCGUCCUGAUAAUGAGCUGUAAAGUCACGGAAUUACACUGAAAGAGAACGUGAAAUAGGUUAGGAACCGAUCUGGAGACUGGUUGAAUUAAGGGUAACAGCCCAUGAUUAGUUACAGGAAUAACAUAUAACUGAAUAUAACAAUAGCAGAAUACCAAGUAUCAGAAAACGAUCAAGGCUACCGCCAAUAAAUGUCCAGAGUGAGUAAACACAAACGGAGACUGAAGCAUACAGAGUCAAACAUACUUACGUGAGCCUUAUCUCCCAAGGGAGGGAUGGGCGGGAAAAUACUCGCCUCCUGUCAUUACUAAAAUUAAGAUUAUAGGUACACUAAAGCUAGCAUAAUCUUCAAUUUUACCACAUGACAGGAGGCUUUGUAUUUUGCAUUUUUAACGCUGAUGUAGGAGAGAUGAGGCUGCUCCCGGGUUCGGGCGGAAGUAAAAUGUCCGAAAGGUGGAUUCUCGCGACCAGUCCGCGGAGCGUAGGAUAUCUGUCAGAGAAGCACCCGCCGAGAAGGCCGAAGAAGCCGCCGCUCCGCGGAUGGAGUGGGCUCCGAAGGUCUCGUCCACUCCUGCCAGUGAUAGAAUCCAUCUUAUCCACCUGGCGAGGGUAGUAACCGAGACUGGCACGUGUGGCCUAACAUAAGAUACUAACAGUUGACCCGAGGAGGAGACCCUGAGAGGGGAUGUGACCUCCACAUACCGACGUAGGGUAGCAACCACGCAGAGCUGUGGGUCAGACGGGAAAAACGGAUAAAAGACCGACGUAGAGUCCGACUUGUCCGACGUGAAACUCGAAAGGUAACUCCCUCUGGUGAGACCGAAAAGGCGUCGAAGUCGAAAGCACGGACGUCCGAGACCCGGCGGAACGAGACAAGGCAGAGCAGGAGCGUUAGUUUUGCCGAGAGUUGUCGUAGGGAUAGUCUGCCAUUGUCCGGCCAAUCCCUUAGGAAUUGUAGGACGACUUCGACGUCCCAUAAGCGGGAGUAUUUGGGUUGAGGGGGUCUCUGUAACCGAACGCCCCUCAGGAGUCUGCAGACCAUGGGGUCUUUGCCUACAGGGAUUCCCAUGACCGGGUCGUGCGCCGCCGAAAUCGCGGAGCGGACAACGUUGAGAGAGCGAUAAGAACGGCCUGCGGAAAAAAGAAAGGAAAGAAAAUUCAAAAUGUCCGUCACAGGGGCAGUAAAGGGAUCGAUGUUCCGUUCACUGCACCAAGAGGACCAGGAGGACCAGGCUGAUAGGUAACAUCGUCUGGUACCUGGAGCCCAAGAGUCCCAUAUGAGAUCUCUAGCUGCCUGCGAUAACUCGCUGGUUUGCCAGGCACCCCUGAAAGAGUCCAAGCCACUAGGGCGAGACGGUCUUCCAGGACGAGAGGAUGGGGGUUGUCUUUCGGGUCCGUGAGGAGUGUUGGGUAGGAUGGUAUGAGGAGCGGAUCCAUGAAGGACGAUGCCAGGAGGUCCGGGAACCAGGGUUGGNNNNNNNNNNNNNNNNNNNNNNNNNNNNNNNNNNNNNNNNNNNNNNNNNNNNNNNNNNNNNNNNNNNNNNNNNNNNNNNNNNNNNNNNNNNNNNNNNNNNCUCCCUGUAAUAUUCUCCCUCUCUCCCUGUAAUACUCCCUCCCCCUUCCCCCCUCCAAUCUUCUCCUCACCUGCUCUUCCCUGUAGCGUGGCCGAGCUCCAGGGAAGGGGAGGUGAGGCAGUGCAGCAGCCGUCUGAGCGCUCUCUAUAGAGCGCUCAGUCGGCUGUGGCAUGCCUAGGUCUUAUUUUCGGGGUAGGGCUUAUAUUGCAGCCCACCCCGAUAAUCCAGCUAGGGCUUAUUUUCAGGGUAGGGUGUAUUUUCGGGAAAACAGGGUAUAUAGGUAUAGGAAGGUGGCACAAAAUCCACCUAAUAUCAGUGAACUGAUAGUGGUCCACCACUGUAUGGGGCUGACAGUCCUUAUGGGAGGUUAGAUAGGCAAUACACUAAACUGCUGACCCCUGCCUGAAUUGUGUGUGGCAAGCUCGCGGUCGGGAGCCGAAAAAACGGAGACCGUGGGUCUCCCAAGAUGGCGGCCGUAACUCUCGCGAGACGCGAGAUCCAAUAUGGCCGCCGGAGGGACGGGAAAGGGGUUUCCCGCUGUGUCGGCUAGUGAGUGCGGCUGAGAAGCCGCGCGGCGGACAAAUAGUGAGGAGGGUGAGCGUUACCCUCGAGGAUGAACCAACGAUCCGAUCUCCCAUAAAGGGAGAUCGGAAAAAUGCCGAAAACGAAACAAAAACCCAGAAAAAAAGGGGGAAACAUAAAAAUAAAUAAUAACAAUGAUAAAUAAAACAAUAAAUAAAGGUAAGGGUAUAUAAACAAUAAGGUACCAAUCUAAGUCCCUGAGGGUAGGGGAGAAAUCCUGAGAGGAGACAGUGUAAGGCAGAAGGACAGAAAUCCUAGGAGACAAAAAGGGAAAUUACUAUAUAUAAAGCAUCAAAGAUAAUGAGAAUAACAGUAUGAAACAUGAUAAGUAAGGGAAGAGCCAAAACUCUGACCUGUCUGCUGAUGGAGCAGUAAAGAAAGAGGAGGAGGAGCCUUAUCUCUGUGAAUACUAUGCUUCCUAUUGCAUUUUGAUUGGUUAUCUUUUCACUUUUCUUUACUGCUGUGUGAGUUAGUAAAGAGAGUUUAAUGCAAAAUACGAAGCCUCCUGUCAUGUGGUAAAAUUAAAUAAUGCUUGCACCUCUGUCAGACACCACCAUUUUUUUUUUGCAGCUAUUGCAUAUGCCUGGGCCUGCUCUUGCUAGCCUCCUCUCUGCCUAGCCUGCCCAACACCUGCACAGAUCCCCCCGCUCCCAAAUGCACUUUUCUUGAAUACCCUGCCAGGGUUCACCCUCUUCCCCCUCCCCAAUCCUCCCUCUUUCCAUCCACCCUUCUCCCUCCCCCCGGGGUAUCCUGGGCAUCAUAUCUGUGGAGAACUGGAGAUAAGUGAAUUAUGAAGCUGGAACAUAUUGGCCGCUUUGCUAAAAGACGCCAGCUAAAAAGCUCUUCAUCUCCUCAGUGAUAGCAAGAAGGAACAAGGCAGCGUGACACAUUGGCCGCGUAAUGACAUCGGCAUCAUGUAGUAACGCUGGCAUUGCUGAUAGACGCUGGCGCAUGCUAAAUCGCAAAAAGAAGGACAAACUCCGAAAUCCCCCCAGACAUGAACAUUUCCCUCAAAAAAAGGACAUGUCGGAGGGAAUCCGGACGUAUGGUAACACUAACUUCAAUGAAAAAAAUGUGUAUUUAAGUUUUCAGUUGAGGUAUAUAUACUAAACAGUGAUUUUUAUUUAUUUUGAUAAAUCAGUUUAGUAUAAAUUUAAAAAAAAGGUAAACCACUUAAUUUAGAAAUAAACUUUAUAAGCAAUGCUUGCUUCUUUAAGAGAAGAUAAACUUAUUUAAACCCUUAUAGUGCAAAACUAAGUAUCUGUUCCUAUUCUGAACAUUUUAUAAGAGACAGCUCCAAGUGAUGGUAACAAUCAAUCAAAGAAAGUUAGCUAUGUUGGCUCAUUCCAUUAAUUCACUGCUUCCACAGUAAGAGACACAUAUUUAGAUGGAAUCUCAUUGCUAGAGCAGUAAGUGACUGUAGAUCAAACUGAAACAUGUAAGUUCUGGGCAGGGAGAAAAAAUGACUAAUGCUUCUUUCUCUUGGAUGUGUCAGCGAGAUCAAAGUUUGACUGCCUUAAUCUGAUCUUUGCAAUGGCGGUUACGGGUGUUGUGUUUUGCACACUUUGAAAUCUUAGAGUCUGGAAAUUUCAGUACACAAUUCAAAUGAAAUAACUCUUGAUGAGCUUUUAAAGGAGUACAAUGUGUUUUGGGCUCCUUUAUGCUUUCUUUGUUAUCUUAUUUUUUGGUGCUGCUUGAGUUGGCAAAUAACCAGGUGCCAGACUAGCCUUUAAAUUCUAUUUCGAUUUAGGGCAGACUAAGUUAUAUACAUCUUACACAUCUAUAAAUAUCAAGUAAUUAAAAAAAUCUCACCCCCAGUGUUUACUUGCUAUAUGUAGAUGUAUAAGAUGUGUAGAACUUGUCCUGGUGAAAGUUUUAAAUAUGAAACUGAAACAUUGAUCAAUAAAAGUUACGUUUUAGUUUUUUAACUAAGCCCUAUAGUGCUAUCAAUAUUUCCAUUUUCUAUUAAUACAUUUGUUGGAUUCAAGCACCGGGUCUAAGCAAUUUUGUUUUGUUUGAACUUCAUUUGACUGGUUAUAUUGCCAUAUAUAUAUUGUUAUUUGUGUGUUUGUAUAUUUGGUGAUUGGAGACUGCUCCAUCACUCUGCCCACCAGACGCAUAAUGAGUAUAUUCAGUAAUAAUGUGCGCUCGGACCUAAGCUAUCUGGGGAUAUGUUGCAUGUCUGUAUUUUAUGUAAUAAAUGUAACCUUGUGUAUUUUAUGUAUUUUACUGUCUUUUGCUACCAUGUGUUCAAUGGAGUUUUGCCUCUGUCCUUGGAGAUAAUCGGAUUACUUCCCAAUUAUCUCCAGGAUAGAAGACUCUGUGGAACUGGUUUUGGGCAGAAAAGCCAUGCUUCAUUUGGUCACAAAGGACUUUGAUCUAUCUUUUGAACCAAUGGACCAAUUUGGAUGAUUUUGACAUAUGUUUGUAUUUGAAAAUUAAAUUUUAUGUGAAUGUGAUGUAUACUUUUAAAGUUAUGAAUAAUGUGGAAAAACUGUAUUUCUCUGCCUGUGAUAAUUACAUUAAGCCAUUGUGUAAGGUAAUUGUAUCACAGGCAGAGGGGAGGAUUUUGUGUGGGAGUGUCUGAGUGUAUUGUACGUGUUUAUUGGUUGUUUUCCAAAACUCUGUGGGUGGUACUAAUGUGUAAGAAUGUGUAUAUAAGAACAAUAAACCCACAGCUCUGGCUGUUCCUGCUUGACCCCCAACACGGAGCUUUGUCUCGUUCUUGGGGGGGAUUUACUGUAUGCUGUAAGAGGCUGAUUACCAGGAGUGUAAGCCGCUUGGGUGCUUUUCCUGUUCAGCUGCUAGCAGCUAUUCGUGAGGUUCCAGUUUGGGAGUUUGGAGUGCUACUUUGUAUCCUGUUCGGGAGUUUGGGGUGCUGCGGUAGCUGUGCCUGGGUCUCUGGAAGGGGAAGAUCUUCUAAACGGCGGUUUAACCCCUUUUAUGCCUGGGGGUGCCGUUACAUUCUGUAUCUGUAUGAUAUUUAUAGGCACUUAAGUAUAUUUACUGCCAAGUUUGCAAUAAACCACUACCAGAAUCCUUUUUUUUGUCGUGCUUCAUGCGUAGAUGUUUUGAUUGACAAUGCAACUGUAGUAAAAAAUUUUUUUAAAGUUACAAUAUUAAAGGAACACUCCAUGCACCAUAACCAUUACAGAAGGCUGUAGUGGUAUAUCGUGCUUGGUUUGUUCCUUUGGAGUGACCUGACAGCCCCCCACCCAAUGUAAUUAGUCAAAUUAAAUUAUUUUAGAUUGGUUUGAUUUCUUAUCUGUGGUGCACUUGGCACUGUUUCUUGCCUCUUGUGGAGGCAGAUGCUCUCUGCCUGAGCUAAGCCCGGCGGCACAGAGCUUAUUUCUUUGGCUGAGAGCAGACAGCUGACAUUCUCCGCCAAUAAAUUAGCCCUGCACUGCACAGAGGUCAAAUUGUUCUAAAAUGGUUUGAUUCAACUGACGUUUUGCUUCCCCUGCAAUCACUUUUUUCUUCUGUACCCUAUAUCUUUUGAACUCCAAUAAAAACAACAUAUUUAAAACUAAAAUGGUUUGAUUACUUACAAUGGGGGGAGCCAGGUAAUGCUUCUUAAAAUACAAUAUUUAUUUAUUUUAUGACUUAUUAAAGUGCUGAGGAAUAUGCAUUAAAGGACAACUGUCACCUCAAUACUAUUUUGUAACCUAAUGAUCAUCAAUUUUAACCUAAUGAUCAUCAAUUUUUUUUUUUUUAAUUAAGUCUAUGUAAAACAAAAAUAGAAAAACGAAUCCCUACCUUUAGUAUAUGACAGGAUCUUUCGUGUACCUUGGGUCAUACUAUCUCUGUGUCUACAGAUUACUAGGAGUGAAGGGGUUCAUCAUUAAGGGAAUCAUACUAUUUAUUGUGCCUAGUUUUGAGAAUGGCUUCUUUUUGUUCUAGGUGAGAGAGAAGAGCUGACAAUAACAGCAGAUAGACUAAUGAAUCGCACACUCACUGUGGAGGUCUCCUUAGAAACUAUCCGAAACCCACAGCAGGCCACUGCCCUCCAGCAUGCUACUGCAGUCAUUGAUGAAAUUGCAAAGAAAGUGACAGACAACCUGGAGACUGGCAGGAAACAACUGAUCUCCCUAUAUGGGGCAUGUACUUCAGAUAUCAACCAAGGGCCGAUUGAUCAGAAGUUUCAGUCCAUCAUCAUUGGAUGUGCACUAGAGGAUCAGAAGAAAAUAAAAAGGAGACUGGAAAUGCUCAUCAGGAACAUAGACCAUUCAGAGAAGUCCAUCACACUUUUAGAUCAACAGAAGCAGAGGAAACAUUGAAUAUUGGUAAUACUAGCUAUACAUGUAGAAUGUCUGCUGACUCACAGGCUUCCAUACUAGCACAUUAUUCACAAAACAGUCAGGAAAGGAAUACUUAAAACAAUUAUAAACAUGCAGAUAGCUUGCAUAAGAAAAAAGUGAUCUGUAUAAUGUAGUUACAGAGUUUCUAUAACAAAAUAGCGCUUAGAAGGAACACUGCUGACCAAUACACUGUGCAUAUAUUUCAUUCUUUUCAUUUUACAGAAUGUAUUGAAUGUUACUGUACCAUAUUUAUAUGCUUCUGUUUUACCAUCGUUAGAAUGUGCUGCUUGGAAUAUGUUCAAUUUAGUACACCAGUAGCCUUCACAAAUUAUUAUUAGUUGGUUCCUUUGAGGAAGACCAUAUCCAUAUCAGAUUUUCUAAAUGGUUAAAAGGGGGAGAUAUUUCAGUAAGGUGAAAAACAUCUGUAGGAUUAGACUUAGUUGGAGACUUCAAUGUCAUCUUCCAUUGCAACAUGAUAAAUUAACUCCUUAACUACUCAUUAAUAAGAAUUUCCUUGGGCAGAGGUCUCAGAUGCGUUGGCUAUGGAGAGAUGAAUUUAAUGCUUAAUCCUCAUCUCCUAUAUCUCUUUAUUCUAACUGAAUGUACUAGUGUCAUCAUUUUCAUAAUCUGUUUUAUACAGGGCCAGUUGAAGACCAGCUACUUGCACUCUGCACACCUAAAAACAAAAUUGCCAACUUUGUGUGUCUGUUUCUUCCCCAGCCCCUUUGUGUGUCUCUUUUUUCCCCUUCCCCUCUAUGGGCCUCUUUGUCCCCACCCCAGCGCCUCUGUGUGUCUCUUUGUCCCCCUCCAGCGCCUCUGUGUGUCUUUUUGUCCUUCAAGCCCCUCUUUGUGUCUCUUUUCCCCUGAACCUUUGUCUUACUAGCACCUCUUUGUGUCUCUUUGUCCCCCUAGCCCUCUGUGUCUUUGUCCCCCCAAGCCCCUUAGUGCGUGUCUUUGCUCCCUAUCCCCUCUGUCCCAUCUCUUUGUCCUCCCCAGUCCCUCAGUGCAUCUCUUUGCUCCUCUAACCCGUCUGUCCAUCUUUUUGUCCUUCCCAGCCUCUCUGUGUGUCUCUUUGUACCCCCAACGUUUCUAUGUGCCUCAUUUUCCCCCCAUCAGCCCUCUGUGCACCAUCCCUUCUGUGCGCCUCUUUGCCCCCCCAGCCCUUCUGUGUGUUUCUAUGUGCCUCCCAGCCCUUCUGUGCACCUCUUUGUUUCAACCAGUCCUUCCUCUGUGCCCACACCUCCUUCUCACUUCCUGUGCCUGCUGUUCAUCUUGCGCUAAGCGGACUACGUGGAGGAUCUUCUGCUUCCUCUACCUGGUCUGACAGGAAGCUGUUCAUUGCUCCCAGGUUACAGUCAAACUGGCAGAGGAUACUGAAGAUCACACAUGCAGUGAAUGGCAGAAGGGGGAGUUCUGUGCACCAACACCACAAUGACAGACUGUAGUGGUUAUGGUGCUUAGAGUACCUCUAAAUUAUUAAGUCGUAGUUAAUGUAGAUGGGAAUUGCUUCUGGCCUUGUUGGUUUCUUGCUGCAUACAUUAGGCCUUAUGUUUGACACCUCUGCCCUUGCAUGUUUGUGCUAAAUAUGUGUCAGACCUUCUUCUAUGUGUUUGUAAUAUAGAAUGAUUCUCUGCAAAUAAAACACUGUUUCAAUGCCCAUCUUAAUGCAUUAAUCUGUAUACAGAAAUCUCCACUUUUGGAUUCAAGUAAAAAAUUGUAAAUAAAAAGAAAAACCAA